Molecule: non-coding RNA, 72 nt
Organism: Bos taurus (domestic cattle)
Lineage: Eukaryota; Metazoa; Chordata; Mammalia; Artiodactyla; Bovidae
Source: Rfam
UCCCUGGUGGCUCAGAGGUUAAAGCGUCUGCCUGGAAGGUGGAAGACCUGGGUUCGAUCCCUGGGUCGGGAA